Molecule: transfer RNA, 69 nt
Filed under: Rhyparobia maderae (Madeira cockroach)
Lineage: Eukaryota; Metazoa; Arthropoda; Insecta; Blattodea; Blaberidae
Description: tRNA-Gln
Source: RNAcentral
AUACAUUUAGUGUAUGAUGCAUAUGAAUUUUUGAUGUUUAGGGGGUUAGUUUAAUUCUAACAAUGUAUA